Molecule: ribosomal RNA, 459 nt
Filed under: uncultured bacterium
Lineage: Bacteria
Description: partial 16S ribosomal RNA
Rfam family: Bacterial small subunit ribosomal RNA
Source: RNAcentral
CCUACGGGAGGCUGCAGUGAGGAAUAUUGGUCAAUGGGCGCGAGCCUGAACCAGCCAAGUCGCGUGAGGGAAGACGGUCCUAUGGAUUGUAAACCUCUUUUGUCGGGGAGCAAAAGACGCCACGCGUUGCGUUCCGAGAGUACCCUACGAACAAGCGUCGGUUAACUCCGUGCCAGCAGCCGCGGUAAUACGGGGGAUGCGAGCGUUAUCCGGAUUUAUUGGGUUUAAAGGGUGCGCAGGCGGAAGAUCAAGUCAGCGGUAAAAUUGAGAGGCUCAACCUGUUCGAGCCGUUGAAACUGGUGUUCUGGAGUGAGCGAGAAGUAGGCGGAAUGCGUGGUGUAGCAGUGAAAUGCAUAGAUAUCACGCAGAACUUCGAUUGCGAAGGCAGCAUACCGGCGCUCAACUGACGCUCAUGCACGAAAGUGUGGGUAUCGAACAGGAUUAGAUACCCUGGUAGUC